UACAGAGGGGGCAAGCGUUGUUCGGAAUUACUGGGCGUAAAGGGCGCGUAGGCGGCCGCCUAAGUCAGACGUGAAAUCCCUCGGCUCAACCGGGGAACUGCGUCCGAUACUGGCGGGCUUGAAUUCGGGAGAGGGAUGUGGAAUUCCAGGUGUAGCGGUGAAAUGCGUAGAUAUCUGGAGGAACACCGGUGGCGAAGGCGGCAUCCUGGACCGACAUUGACGCUGAGGCGCGAAAGCCAGGGGAGCAAACGGG
RNAcentral lists this ribosomal RNA (253 nucleotides) under uncultured bacterium. RNAcentral's name for it is "partial 16S ribosomal RNA". It matches the Rfam family "Bacterial small subunit ribosomal RNA", at positions 524 to 776 of the family's 1533-position model. The record is from RNAcentral.